AACGAACGCUGGCGGCAUGCCUAACACAUGCAAGUCGAACGAAGGCUUCGGCCUUAGUGGCGCACGGGUGAGUAACGCGUGGGAAACUGCCUAUUGGUGGGGAAUAACGACGGGAAACUGUCGCUAAUACCGCAUAAGCCCUUCGGGGGAAAGAUUUAUCGCCGAUAGAUGUGCCCGCGUCCGAUUAGCUAGUUGGUGAGGUAAUGGCUCACCAAGGCGACGAUCGGUAGCUGGUCUGAGAGGAUGAUCAGCCACACUGGGACUGAGACACGGCCCAGACUCCUACGGGAGGCAGCAGUGGGGAAUAUUGGACAAUGGGCGAAAGCCUGAUCCAGCAAUGCCGCGUGAGUGAUGAAGGCCUUAGGGUUGUAAAGCUCUUUCGGGUGGGACGAUGAUGACGGUACCACCAGAAGAAGCCCCGGCUAACUUCGUGCCAGCAGCCGCCGCAG
RNAcentral lists this ribosomal RNA (449 nucleotides) under uncultured bacterium. Its description in RNAcentral is "partial 16S ribosomal RNA". It matches the Rfam family "Bacterial small subunit ribosomal RNA", at positions 29 to 523 of the family's 1533-position model. The record is from RNAcentral.